AGAGUUUGAUCCUGGCUCAGAACGAACGCUGGCGGCGUGGAUAAGACAUGCAAGUCGAACGGGAUUUUAUUUGUAGCAAUACACGUAAAGUCUAGUGGCGUAAGGGUGCGUAACACGUGGGGAAUCUGCCGAGAAGUGGGGGAUAGCUCGCCGAAAGGCGAAUUAAUACCGCAUGUGGAUAGUGAAGGAUUCUUCGCGACUCCAAAGCCGGGGCAACCUGGCGCUUCUUGAUGAGCCCGCGGCCUAUCAGCUAGUUGGUAAGGUAACGGCUUACCAAGGCUAUGACGGGUAGCUGGUCUGAGAGGACGACCAGCCACACUGGAACUGAGACACGGUCCAGACACCUACGGGUGGCAGCAGUCGAGAAUUUUUCUCAAUGGGGGAAACCCUGAAGGAGCGACGC
This 403-nucleotide ribosomal RNA is filed under the name uncultured bacterium. RNAcentral's name for it is "bacterial SSU rRNA". It matches the Rfam family "Bacterial small subunit ribosomal RNA", at positions 8 to 397 of the family's 1533-position model. The record is from RNAcentral.